RNAcentral lists this ribosomal RNA (111 nucleotides) under Jaculus jaculus (lesser Egyptian jerboa). The record is from RNAcentral. Lineage: Eukaryota; Metazoa; Chordata; Mammalia; Rodentia; Dipodidae.
GUUUUUGGGCACACCACCCUGAAUGCACCCAGUCUCCUCUAACCUUGGAAGCUAAGCAGGAUUGGGCCUGGUUAGCACUCCUUGGAUGGGAGGAUAUGUGUUCUGUCGACA